GAGAAGGUUACUAUGGAGGCCCUCAUUUUGUACCUUGCUCAAAGCAAAUAGUGGUUGAUCAGAAAAAUAUCAAACACAGGUUAAUGCUCGUUAUAAUAGCGAAAAGGAUUAAGGAUCUCCAUUCUCCAGAUACACAAGUCUGCUCCCUAACUUUAUUCUCUUUGGAUGCCUUAUAUCUACUUGAACCUUUCCUUUUGUUUCUGUAUCCUGUAAAG
Molecule: unclassified non-coding RNA, 215 nt
Filed under: Hevea brasiliensis (rubber tree)
Lineage: Eukaryota; Viridiplantae; Streptophyta; Magnoliopsida; Malpighiales; Euphorbiaceae
Source: RNAcentral